RNAcentral lists this ribosomal RNA (339 nucleotides) under uncultured bacterium. RNAcentral's name for it is "bacterial SSU rRNA". It matches the Rfam family "Bacterial small subunit ribosomal RNA", at positions 9 to 353 of the family's 1533-position model. The record is from RNAcentral.
GAGUUUGAUCAUGGCUCAGGAUGAACGCUAGCGGCAGGCUUAACACAUGCAAGUCGAGGGGUAUUCUAGCAAUAGGAGAGACCGGCGCACGGGUGCGUAACGCGUAUGCAAUCUGCCCUUCACAGAGGGAUAGCCCAGAGAAAUUUGGAUUAAUACCUCAUAGUAUAAUGACUCGGCAUCGAGAUAUUAUUAAAGUCACAACGGUGAAAGAUGAGCAUGCGUCCCAUUAGCUAGUUGGUAAGGUAACGGCUUACCAAGGCGACGAUGGGUAGGGGUCCUGAGAGGGAGAUCCCCCACACUGGUACUGAGACACGGACCAGACUCCUACGGGAGGCAGCA